This 301-nucleotide ribosomal RNA is filed under the name uncultured bacterium. RNAcentral's name for it is "partial 16S ribosomal RNA". It matches the Rfam family "Bacterial small subunit ribosomal RNA", at positions 509 to 809 of the family's 1533-position model. The record is from RNAcentral.
CAGCAGCCGCGGGAAUACGAAGGGGGCUAGCGUUGCUCGGAAUGACUGGGCGUAAGGGGCGCGUAGGCGGCGAUCAAAGUCAGGCGUGAAAUUCCUGGGCUCAACCUGGGGGCUGCGUUUGAUACUUGAUUGCUAGAGUGGGGAAGAGGGUCGUGGAAUUCCCAGUGUAGGGGUGAAAUUCGUAGAUAUUGGGAAGAACACCGGUGGCGAAGGCGGCGACCUGGUCCUUGACUGACGCUGAGGCGCGAAAGCGUGGGGAGCAAACAGGAUUAGAUACCCGCGUAGUCCCUGUCUCUUAUAU